Molecule: long non-coding RNA, 1729 nt
Organism: Ictalurus punctatus (channel catfish)
Lineage: Eukaryota; Metazoa; Chordata; Actinopteri; Siluriformes; Ictaluridae
Exons: 3
Source: RefSeq, a predicted model, not a curated record
UUACAUUCUAUUUUUAAUUUUUUGUUUUUUAAACACUAGGUGGAUGUUUCUUUUUUCUUUCUUUCUCAUGAACAUGAACUAUAGCGUGGGACUGGGGGCGGAGAAACCAGCGUGAACUAAACUAAUGAACCUAAACAUGAAACAUGACAUGAACUAUGACUAUGAAUUGAACCAUGAAACUAUAAACUGUGACUUUGGUUCUCUAUCGUAAGGACACUCAACUAAUCUACUACAACUCAAUAUUCCGCGCUGUGUGCUGGGAGGUGCGCGGUAUAUAUACAAACAUAAUCAGCCUCGUAAUGGCUGAUGGCUGAGGGCGAUUCAGACACACGUGAAACAACAACCAAUGACAGAACGGGGAGGAGACAUAACAGAAACAUAACAAAUGCACGUGUCGAAAUGUCACGAUUGUCAACAAGGGAAAAGCAGGUGCACCUGCUCGUGCACGCGCGCUCACAUGCUCCACAGCGUGCUGCUUAAAGGGGAAUUCAUGACAGAACUUGGUCGGCCGUGUCGGUAGACUCGGGCUUGAGCAGAACUUGGUCGGCCGUGUCAGUAGACUUGGGCUUGAGCAGGGCUUGGUUGUCCUGGUUAACAGACACUUGGGACAGUAACUGGGCUUUGCAGUGGAAGAGCAGUAGAAUGCUUCCUGGAGACCCAGUUUUUUGCAGGUAGGGCAUUGUAGCUUGGUCUCCCUCCUGCAGCCCUCAGACAUGCAUGUCAGUGCCACCUCCUCCACAUUGGCUGGAACCUGAAGCAGUUCGGUGGAGGCUGACCUGUCAAUCCCCUCAUAAUAGAGCUUAAAGGGCAGGUCAGGCUGGGGCUGUCCAUUGACUCUCCACCCCAGUAAAUCCAGACCAUGAAGCUGCCCUGGCUGCGUGAACUCCUCCAUAAAAAGUUCUGCAAAUUGAGUGACAUCCUGGAGGGCAGAGGACUCUGCUCACCAGCUGCUUCGCCCAGUCACGGGCCGGUCCGCAAAACCUGGACACCAAGAACCCGAUCCACUGUCUCUUAGUAGGCUUGGGAUACGCCAGGCUGCAGAAAUAUUCCUGGCAGCUGAAGAGGAACUCCAGCGGGUAGCUGCUCAAUCCCGCUGUCUCUGGCGGCAGUUCAACGGCGUACCGUUGAGGGAACUGCACGGACAAGAAAUCUGAGCCUGUGCUGUCUCUGCCUUGCUGUGUGAGGUGGCAGAAUGUGGAGGAGGAGAGAUGGAGUUUGAUGUUGCACUUGGUCAAGAGAAGCUGACUGAAACAAGCCUACAGCUUACACACCUACUGCCAGCUGGGUAUAUACCGGUGCUGAUGGAGGACCGGCAGAGCGAGGCGGUGUACCUAGAGAUCAGUCCUCUUUUCCUCCAGGCCGAGAACAAACACAAACUCUUCCAGUUCGUCUCGCAGUUCCUCUAAGGCUGACGCAGGAGAAACACACGUCUACACCGCUCUAGGUUUAGUUACAAAAUAUCAGUGUUUCUGGUAAUUCGCUUGGAGCAAGAUGUGUUCUUGAACGUGGACCUUUAAAAACUGCAUUUGGUUUCUCUCUUUCUUAUGAAUGUAGUUAGGAAAUGUUUGUUGUGGUUUUCAGUUUUGCACUGAAGCUAUGAGCUUAAUGUGCUGUAACUAACAAGUAAAGCUUAUAUCUAGCGGUUUAGCAUCAUGAAACCUAAAGCAUUAUGCCUUUACUACUAGCAGCUAAAAAUUCUUUAUUUGUAUAGAUAGAUUUCUAAACCAGU